Ameiurus melas (black bullhead) is the source of this 74-nucleotide non-coding RNA. Lineage: Eukaryota; Metazoa; Chordata; Actinopteri; Siluriformes; Ictaluridae. The record is from the annotation of a GenBank genome assembly.
GACAGUGGGGGCUUAAUGGUUAAGGCUCUGGGUUACUGAUUGAAAGGUCGGGGGUUCAAGUCCCAGCACUGCCA